RNAcentral lists this ribosomal RNA (502 nucleotides) under uncultured bacterium. Its description in RNAcentral is "partial 16S ribosomal RNA". It matches the Rfam family "Bacterial small subunit ribosomal RNA", at positions 30 to 523 of the family's 1533-position model. The record is from RNAcentral.
AUUGAACGCUGGCGGCAGGCUUAACACAUGCAAGUCGAGCGGGGUGAUGGUGCUUGCACUAUCACUUAGCGGCGGACGGGUGAGUAAUGCUUAGGAAUCUGCCUAUUAGUGGGGACCACAUCCCGGAAGGGGAUGUAAAUCCGGCUUCCGUCUACGGGAGGAAGCAAGGGAUCAAUUUUUACCUUGCGGUAAAUAAUGAGCCUAAAUCGGAUUAGGCAGGUUGGGGGGUAAAGGCCGAACAAGGCGACGAUCUGUUGCGGGUCUGAGAGGAUGAUCCGCCAGACUGGGACUGCGACACGGCCCAGACUCCUACGGGAGGCAGCAGUGGGGAAUAUUGGACAAUGGGGGGAACCCUGAUCCAGCCAUGCCGCGUGUGUGAAGAAGGCCUUAUGGUUGUAAAGCACUUUAAGCGAGGAGGAGGCUCUUUUGGUUAAUACCCAAGAUGAGUGGACGUUACUCGCAGAAUAAGCACCGGCUAACUCUGUGCCAGCCGCCGCAGUAA